UACGGAGGGUGCAAACGUUGUUCGGAAUCACUGGGCGUAAAGGACGCGUAGGCGGGUUGGCAAGUCAGAUGUGAAAUCCUACAGCUUAACUGUAGAACUGCAUUUGAAACUGCUAACCUAGAGUAUGGGAGGGGGAGAUGGAAUUAGUGGUGUAGGGGUAAAAUCCGUAGAUAUCACUAGGUAUACCGAAAGCGAAGGCGAUCUCCUGGAACAUAACUGACGCUAAGGCGUGAAAGCGUGGGGAGCAAACAGGAUUAGAAACCCUAGUAGUCC
This 273-nucleotide ribosomal RNA is filed under the name uncultured bacterium. RNAcentral's name for it is "partial 16S ribosomal RNA". It matches the Rfam family "Bacterial small subunit ribosomal RNA", at positions 524 to 796 of the family's 1533-position model. The record is from RNAcentral.